GAUCUGGCUCAGGAUGAACGCUAGCGACAGGCCUAACACAUGCAAGUCGAGGGGCAGCGGGGAGGUAGCAAUACCUUUGCCGGCGACCGGCGCACGGGUGAGUAACACGUAUGCAAUCCACCUGUAACAGGGGGAUAACCCGGAGAAAUCCGGACUAAUACCCCAUAAUAUGGGCUCUCCGCAUGGAGGGUUCAUUAAAGAGAGCAAUUUUGGUUACAGACGAGCAUGCGCUCCAUUAG
This 239-nucleotide ribosomal RNA is filed under the name uncultured bacterium. Its description in RNAcentral is "partial 16S ribosomal RNA". It matches the Rfam family "Bacterial small subunit ribosomal RNA", at positions 15 to 244 of the family's 1533-position model. The record is from RNAcentral.